GGGAGCUUGCUCCCAUUUCUCAGCGGCGGACGGGUGAGUAACACGUGGGCAACCUGCCCUACAGACUGGGAUAACUCCGGGAAACCGGAGCUAAUACCGGGUAAUACAUAGCAUCGCAUGAUGCAACGUUGAAAGUUGGCCUUUGGCUAACACUGUAGGAUGGGCCCGCGGCGCAUUAGCUAGUUGGUAAGGUAACGGCUUACCAAGGCCACGAUGCGUAGCCGACCUGAGAGGGUGAUCGGCCACACUGGGACUGAGACACGGCCCAGACUCCUACGGGAGGCAGCAGUAGGGAAUCUUCCGCAAUGGACGAAAGUCUGACGGAGCAACGCCGCGUGAGUGACGAAGGCCUUCGGGUCGUAAAGCUCUGUUGUUAGGGAAGAACAAGUACCGUUCGAAUAGGGCGGUACCUUGACGGUACCUAACCAGAAAGCCACGGCUAACUACGUGCCAGCAGCCGCGGUAAUACGUAGGUGGCAAGCGUUGUCCGGAAUUAUUGGGCGUAAAGCGCGCGCAGGCGGUCUCUUAAGUCUGAUGUGAAAGCCCACGGCUCAACCGUGGAGGGCCAUUGGAAACUGGGGGACUUGAGUGCAGAAGAGGAGAGUGGAAUUCCACGUGUAGCGGUGAAAUGCGUAGAUAUGUGGAGGAACACCAGUGGCGAAGGCGGCUCUCUGGUCUGUAACUGACGCUGAGGCGCGAAAGCGUGGGGAGCGAACAGGAUUAGAUACCCUGGUAGUCCACGCCGUAAACGAUGAGUGCUAGGUGUUUGGGGGGGUUCCACCCUCAGUGCUGAAGUUAACACAUUAAGCACUCCGCCUGGGGGAGUACGACCGCAAGGUUGAAACUCAAAGGAAUUGACGGGGGCCCGCACAAGCAGUGGAGCAUGUGGUUUAAUUCGAAGCAACGCGAA
This 910-nucleotide ribosomal RNA is filed under the name Bacillus sp. (in: firmicutes). RNAcentral's name for it is "bacterial SSU rRNA". It matches the Rfam family "Bacterial small subunit ribosomal RNA", at positions 74 to 965 of the family's 1533-position model. The record is from RNAcentral. Lineage: Bacteria; Bacillati; Bacillota; Bacilli; Caryophanales; Bacillaceae.